AUUAGAGGUUAGAUUACAAACCACCGUUACAAGCUGUUAAACUAUUUAUGAAGUUCUUCGAGUAAAAAAUAAUUGAAAAUUGGAUUCGGCGCAUCAAAUAUUAUUUCUGGUCGCUCUUGUUUUAUGGUACAACUGACUGACCAUGAACCGACCAUGUGGAGGCGUCUUCUUUACCACCACUACCACAAUCGUUUUUUUGAAAUAGAGCCCCUAGCAGGCCCGACGCGAAAACAAAAAUAAAUAAAAAUAUCUGUACAGUGGCCCGCUCUCCGGACCCGCGUUGAGGCUUCAACUUUGACUAAUAGUGAUGGAACACUUAUUGGUAAUCAAUUAUUUCAGG
This is a long non-coding RNA of Cylas formicarius (sweet potato weevil), 340 nucleotides long. RefSeq lists it as uncharacterized. The transcript is spliced from 3 exons. NCBI's taxonomy places the organism in Eukaryota, Metazoa, Arthropoda, Insecta, Coleoptera, Brentidae. The record is from RefSeq and is a predicted model, not a curated record.